Molecule: unclassified non-coding RNA, 336 nt
Filed under: soil metagenome
Description: partial contains 5.8S ribosomal RNA, internal transcribed spacer 2, and large subunit ribosomal RNA
Rfam family: 5.8S ribosomal RNA (bases 1-120)
Source: RNAcentral
GAUGAAGAACGUAGCGAAAUGCGAUAAGUAGUGUGAAUUGCAGAAUUCAGUGAAUCAUCGAAUCUUUGAACGCACAUUGCGCCCCUUGUUAUUCCAUGGGGCAUGCCUGUUCGAGCGUCAUUUGUACCUUCAAGCUUUGCUUGGUGUUGGGUGUUUGUCUCGCCUUUGCGUGUAGACUCGCCUUAAAAUAAUUGGCAGCCGGCGUAUUGAUUUCGGAGCGCAGUACAUCUCGCGCUUUGCACUCAUAACGACAGCGUCCAAAAGUACAUUUUACACUCUUGACCUCGGAUCAGGUAGGGAUACCCGCUGAACUUAAGCAUAUCAAUAAGCGGAGGA